GGGCCGGUGGUCUAGUGGUAUGACACCUCCUUGACGUGGAGGCGGUCGCCGGUUCGAUCCCGGCCCGGCCCACCA
This 75-nucleotide transfer RNA is filed under the name Candidatus Bathyarchaeota archaeon. RNAcentral's name for it is "tRNA-Val". It matches the Rfam family "tRNA". Rfam says of the family: Transfer RNA (tRNA) molecules are approximately 80 nucleotides in length. Their secondary structure includes four short double-helical elements and three loops (D, anti-codon, and T loops). The record is from RNAcentral. Lineage: Archaea; Thermoproteati; Candidatus Bathyarchaeota.